UCAGCCAACAACUUUGCAAAUAUGAUGAACACUGAGGAUCCUGAGAUGGAUCGAUUAUCCUGGAUUACCUGGGUGGGCCCAAUCUAGUCCAUGAGUUCUUAAAAGUGGAAGAGGAAGGCAGAAGAGUGGGUCAGAGUUAUGCCACGAGAAGGGCUCCUCGACCCUGAAAGAGCUCCUUUAGCAAUUCCGAUGUGAAAAGAAGAUGGAUGGAGAAGCACUGAUUCAGCCAUGGCUGACAUGUCGGAGUUGGAAUGGACAGUGCCCGGACCUCACAGUCUCAGAGAACUGGAGAAGAGUAAAGCUGAAGAGGGCACCAUCUGGUUACAAAUGACAAGUCCAGGGCUCCAGAACUCAGGCCAUGUAGAGAGGCCACAUGGGAACUGAGGUUCCUAGUCCUCAGCUUCCACUGAGCUCCCGGCCAACAGCCAGCAAUAACUUGCCAGACAUGUGCACGGGCCAUCUUGGAAGCAGAGGAUCCAGCCCUCAGGCAAGAUGCCCCAGUUGAUUCCACGUGAACUAGGAAUGAGCCCUCCUGCUGAGCUCUGCCCAAAUUACAGAUCUGUGAGCAAACUAAAUGACAGUUGUAUUAAGCUACACAGAAAUAGAUAACUGAAAUACCACCCAUGUCUUUCUUUCCAAACUUAGUUAACUGAGUCUGAGCUAAAGAGAAUUCACACUGUGUAUCUUAUACUGAAUACCCACUAUAUCUGGGGCAUGAUCGCUAA
Molecule: long non-coding RNA, 725 nt
Organism: Pongo pygmaeus (Bornean orangutan)
Lineage: Eukaryota; Metazoa; Chordata; Mammalia; Primates; Hominidae
Exons: 3
Source: RefSeq, a predicted model, not a curated record